AACAAAGAAGUAAGAUUUACAUUUAGUUUCGACCUAAAAUUAAGGGAAUAUUCCUCAUGUUU
This 62-nucleotide transfer RNA is filed under the name Nephotettix parvus. Its description in RNAcentral is "tRNA-Arg". Lineage: Eukaryota; Metazoa; Arthropoda; Insecta; Hemiptera; Cicadellidae. The record is from RNAcentral.